GCUGAAACUCGCCUACAUGAAGCUGGAGUUACUAGUAAUCGCAGAUCAGAAUGCUGCGGUGAAUGCGUUCCCGGGUCUUGUACACACCGCACGUCACACAACGGGAGGUGGAGACGCACGAAGCCGAUUAUCUAACCGUUUGGAAGAAGUCGUCGAAGGGGGAAUCAAUAACUGGGGUGAAGUCGUAACAAGGUAGCCGUAUCGGAAGGUGCGGCUGGAUCACCUCCUUUCUAAGGAGA
This 239-nucleotide ribosomal RNA is filed under the name Clostridioides difficile. RNAcentral's name for it is "partial 16S ribosomal RNA". It matches the Rfam family "Bacterial small subunit ribosomal RNA", at positions 1304 to 1533 of the family's 1533-position model. Lineage: Bacteria; Bacillati; Bacillota; Clostridia; Peptostreptococcales; Peptostreptococcaceae. The record is from RNAcentral.